RNAcentral lists this ribosomal RNA (157 nucleotides) under Alternaria tenuissima. RNAcentral describes it as "5.8S ribosomal RNA". It matches the Rfam family "5.8S ribosomal RNA". From Rfam's summary of the family: 5.8S ribosomal RNA (5.8S rRNA) is a component of the large subunit of the eukaryotic ribosome. Lineage: Eukaryota; Fungi; Ascomycota; Dothideomycetes; Pleosporales; Pleosporaceae. The record is from RNAcentral.
CAACUUUCAACAACGGAUCUCUUGGUUCUGGCAUCGAUGAAGAACGCAGCGAAAUGCGAUAAGUAGUGUGAAUUGCAGAAUCCAGUGAAUCAUCGAAUCUUUGAACGCACAUUGCGCCCUUUGGUAUUCCAAAGGGCAUGCCUGUUCGAGCGUCAUU